AUGUUGUUCAAAUUACAAAUAGAGAGUUUAUUUCUUUUUCAGAAUUUUCGCCAGGUUACAAAUAAUACAAAUAGACGUCAUUGAAGGUUGAUUGAACUCAUAAGAAUCGGUCUCUUCUUUAAUCUAUAAAAACCCAAACCCAAAAAUAGACUUGACUCCCUCUAUAAGUCCUAAAAAAGACUUAUAAAUGGACACAUUUAAACUAGAUUUGGUGGAGUGCGCCAGGCCCAUGCAAUAUUGCAACGCUUGGGCGACACUUGAGAGCCCCAAUAGCAAGCUAUUACGGUAAACCCUCCUCCUAAAGAAAUUAAUUUAAUAUCAUGUGAGCCAUUAGCCCACGUAUCAGAUAUUAAACUGAUAAGAACAGAUACUACACUUGAUCUUAGCCAAAAGGC
This 395-nucleotide long non-coding RNA is filed under the name Prunus dulcis (almond). Its description in RNAcentral is "sRNA ncRNA". Lineage: Eukaryota; Viridiplantae; Streptophyta; Magnoliopsida; Rosales; Rosaceae. The record is from RNAcentral.